UUGGAGGGCAAGUCUGGUGCCAGCAGCCGCGGUAAUUCCAGCUCCAAUAGCGUAUAUUAAAGUUGUUGCAGUUAAAAAGCUCGUAGUUGAAUUUCGGGAUCAAAUAAUCGGUCGUGCCUCCGGUACGUACUGGUUUUAUUGGUUCCUCCCUUCUGACGAACCAUGAUGUCAUUAAUUUGAUGUGGUGGAGAAUCAGGACUGUUACCUUGAAAAAAUUAGAGUGUUUAAAGCAGGCUAACGCUUGAAUACAUUAGCAUGGAAUAAUGAAAUAGGACGUUCGACCCUAUUUUGUUGGUUUCUAGGAUCGACGUAAUGAUUAAUAGGGAUAGUUGGGGGCAUUAGUAUUCAAUUGUCAGAGGUGAAAUUCUUGGACUUAUUGAAGACUAACUACUGCGAAAGCAUUUGCCAAGGAUGUUUUCAUUAAUCAAGAACGAAAGUUAGGGGAUCGAAGACGAUCAGAUACCGUCGUAGUCCUAACCAUAAACUAUGCCGACUAGGGAUCGGAUGAUGUUAAUUUUUUAAUGACUCAUUCGGCGCCUUACGGGAAAC
RNAcentral lists this ribosomal RNA (549 nucleotides) under uncultured Glomeraceae. Its description in RNAcentral is "SSU rRNA". It matches the Rfam family "Eukaryotic small subunit ribosomal RNA", at positions 548 to 1098 of the family's 1831-position model. Lineage: Eukaryota; Fungi; Glomeromycota; Glomeromycetes; Glomerales; Glomeraceae. The record is from RNAcentral.